RNAcentral lists this long non-coding RNA (537 nucleotides) under Anser cygnoides (Swan goose). RNAcentral describes it as "lncRNA (ENSACDG00005019178.1)". The record is from RNAcentral. Lineage: Eukaryota; Metazoa; Chordata; Aves; Anseriformes; Anatidae.
CUGGGUGGUUCCUGUAGGAUCUCAGCUCAUCCCCAUGCUAAACCGGAGAAAAAUCCCAUCGGUCCAGGAGGGACUCAUACAGACCCAUUCCAUGAGUUUUUGGGUGCUGGAGCAGGCCGUGGGACACAAUCGCUCCUGGCCCAGCAGCCUUGCUCCCUAAUCCUGGCCCCAUCCCCGCUCCCACUUUUCUUUCAGUGCAUGAAGACACGAUUUAUGAUGUCCAUUCCUGGAGAGCGGCAGAUUUUCAAAAGCAAAUGAUAGUGAUUGCAGACUUGAUCCAAUGAAGAUGUAGGAAUGAUUAUUCUCAUUAACGGGGCUGUCAAAACAAUGCUUUGCCCAUUUAUGUGCACUGCUGCUAAACAGUUCUUGGUAAGUUUGUCCUCUGCAUUUCUGUGUUUCUUCAAAUGUUGAAUCACACUUGCCCUGACAUGUGCAGCUCUGAUGAACUUUGGAGGUUUUGGUACAGCCUCUUCUUGCCCCAGGUUGGGCUGAAGCAGGGUUCUGGGCCUUGAGAAGUCUUAAAAACAAAAUAAGACA